GAUGAACGCUGGCGGCGUGCCUAAUACAUGCAAGUCGAGCGAAAAGACGAGGAGCUUGCUCCUCUGACGUUAGCGGCGGACGGGUGAGUAACACGUGGAUAACCUACCUAUAAGACUGGGAUAACUUCGGGAAACCGGAGCUAAUACCGGAUAAUAUAUUGAACCGCAUGGUUCAAUAGUGAAAGACGGUUUUGCUGUCACUAAUAGAUGGAUCCGCGCCGCAUUAGCUAGUUGGUAAGGUAACGGCUUACCAAGGCAACGAUGCGUAGCCGACCUGAGAGGGUGAUCGGCCACACUGGAACUGAGACACGGUCCAGACUCCUACGGGAGGCAGCAGUAGGGAAUCUUCCGCAAUGGGCGAAAGCCUGACGGAGCAACGCCGCGUGAGUGAUGAAGGUCUUCGGAUCGUAAAACUCUGCUAUUAGGGAAGAACAAAUGUGUAAGUAACUAUGCACGUCUUGACGGUACCUAAUCAGAAAGCCACGGCUAACUACGUG
Molecule: ribosomal RNA, 497 nt
Filed under: uncultured bacterium
Lineage: Bacteria
Description: partial 16S ribosomal RNA
Rfam family: Bacterial small subunit ribosomal RNA
Source: RNAcentral